UACGUAGGUUGCAAGCGUUAUCCGGAAUUAUUGGGCGUAAAGCGCGCGCAGGUGGUUUCUUAAGUCUGAUGUGAAAGCCCACGGCUCAACCGUGGAGGGUCAUUGGAAACUGGGAGACUUGAGUGCAGAAGAGGAAAGUGGAAUUCCAUGUGUAGCGGUGAAAUGCGUAGAGAUAUGGAGGAACACCAGUGGCGAAGGCGACUUUCUGGGCUGUAACUGACACUGAGGCGCGAAAGCGUGGGGAGCAAACAGG
RNAcentral lists this ribosomal RNA (253 nucleotides) under uncultured bacterium. RNAcentral's name for it is "partial 16S ribosomal RNA". It matches the Rfam family "Bacterial small subunit ribosomal RNA", at positions 524 to 776 of the family's 1533-position model. The record is from RNAcentral.